Molecule: long non-coding RNA, 1647 nt
Organism: Aethalodelphis obliquidens (Pacific white-sided dolphin)
Lineage: Eukaryota; Metazoa; Chordata; Mammalia; Artiodactyla; Delphinidae
Exons: 2
Source: RefSeq, a predicted model, not a curated record
UGAGCCAUGGCCGCUGAGCCUGCGCGUCUGGAGCCUGUGCUCCGCAAGGGAGAGGCCACAACAGUGAGAGGCCCGCGUACCACAACAACAAUAAAAAAAAGUGUUAGGCUGCUUUACCAGCUCCCACAGACCCCAGAGUCUGGCUGAGACAGAACAUACUUUUCUCCAGUGUUAUCAGCUGGUGUAAACAGUUUAGGAAAGAUAGAUGACCAGCCCAGUUGGGCGUAAGAACCUCUGAGAUACGAAAUUCCAGGGCUGUGUCUCCAGCCCUCAGGGAGGUCCUGGAAGGGCCUCAUCGUGGUACCUGCUUCUCGACCAUCACCCUCUGGAUCAGGUUUCUAAAUGAAAUCUCGUUCUCUCUUGUGUGAUCUGUACCUGGCCGAUUGAUACAGCAGCCGCUCACUGUAUGACUAGAUGAAAAUACAAAUUUAAAAUUAAAAACGCAGCUCCUUACAGUUGCACUCUCCACUUUUCAAGUGCUCAGCAGCCCGUGUCCAGUGGCCACUCUGCUGGGCCGCCCAGUUCCGGAACAUUUCUGCCUGAUCCAUAAUCUCUCCGGGUUUGUUUACCGACGCACAGAUGAUUGGAUCCUGUGUCUGCUGCCUUUGCAAGAGGCCAUGACGACUAGGUGGCCUAUUAAAAACAGGCCUUUUCACCUGCUCCCCAGGGGCUCUCUUUGGGGCAGAGCUGGUCCUUCUGUCCGCUCUGCUGUGCUCUUGGACUCCCACUCUGACUUGGUAGCGAUGAAACGCGGUAGCUUGUGUAACGGACAGGUUGUAGGCAGCGGAGGCAUCUGAGGGUGUACACCGCUGACAGUUGCAGCUUUUUCUUUGGCACUUUGCAGAGGAUACUGAAAUAUUACUUCAAAAGAUGAAGCGAUAGAAAUGGAAUACGAAUCAGUCAUUAUACCUCAUGAUGCGUCUGUGAACGCCCUGUACUUACUUUUGGGUUAUUACCGUCUUCAGCCCAAGGUUAGAUGCACGUUUACAGACAUGGAAAACUGAACAUCCAGAAGAGUCAGGGUGACUGGUUGAGAGGCUCUGAAAUGACGGAUGGCAGCGCCUCGUUCAGGAAGUGCACGAACCUUGUGGCCUUUGAUGAUUUUUAAAAGCCAAUUAAUAUUUUCUUGUGGCCUUUAUUAAUUAGCAUUUUCCAUUAUUCUCCAGAUCAGAACAUAGUAACCUAUUGGUACGUCUUAAACAGCACACAGGUGACGGUGGUACUUGUCUCAUCAACGGAGUUCUGAUGGAGGGACACCUACAUGCUGCUGAUCCGUGAGGAUGAGAGGGGCACAGAGCAGUGGACGGGACUCCUACCGUCCCCUCCCUGGAUGAACGAAUGCCACCCGGAAGGAUGGGAAAGGACGCAGUACAGCCCAGGCGGCCCGGCUCGGGGAGCGUCACCCCUGGCCUGCCCAUCCUGCCGCUUCUCCGCCGUUGCCCCAACCGCGCCCAGCCACGAAGACCCCACGACACCGUCUGAAGGCUUUGGGUUUCAUCAGAGCUCUUCCUUCAGGACUCGGCUCAAAUGCUUGCCUCCAAGAAGCCACUUCUGAUGCUUCCCAGGAGCCUGAGCCAGGGCCUUCCCCGCCUCCUGUCACCCUGCACCUUUUCCACAGCCCCAAUAAACAGCUCUCACUGGACUCAG